ACUCCGGGUCGGCCGUCGAUACUUCCGGGCUUGAGCACUGUAGAGGCAGAUGGAAUUCCGGGUGUAGCGGUGGAAUGCGUAGAGAUCCGGAAGAACACCGGUGGCGAAGGCGGUCUGCUGGGCAGUUGCUGACGCUGAUGCGCGACAGCGUGGGGAGCAAACAGGAUUAGAUACCCUGGUAGUCCACGCCGUAAACGAUGGGCACUAGGUGCUUGGGGGAGCGACCCUCUGAGUGCCGGCGCUAACGCAUUAAGUGCCCCGCCUGGGGAGUACGGCCGCAAGGCUGAAACUCAAAGGAAUUGACGGGGGCCCGCACAAGCGGUGGAGCAUGUGGUUUAAUUCGACGCAACGCGAAGAACCUUACCUAGGCUUGACAUACACGGGAAAGCCCUGAGAAACCAGGGCCCUCC
RNAcentral lists this ribosomal RNA (410 nucleotides) under uncultured bacterium. RNAcentral's name for it is "bacterial SSU rRNA". It matches the Rfam family "Bacterial small subunit ribosomal RNA", at positions 612 to 1018 of the family's 1533-position model. The record is from RNAcentral.